GAAUCCGCYAAGGAGUGUGUAACAACUCACCUGCCGAAUGAACUAGCCCUGAAAAUGGAUGACGCUUAAGCGGGCAGCCGACACCAGGCCGUUUUUGUAAGAUGUGACAAAAAUGAGUAGGAGGGCGUGGUGGUCAUGUUGCGAAGGGUCAGACGCGAGUCUACCUGAAACGGUCACUAGUGCAGAUCUUGGUGGUAGUAGCAAAUAUUCAAGCGAGAUCCUUGAAGGGCGAAGCGAGGAAGGGUUCCACGCGAACAUUGAUUGGGCGUGGGUGAGUCGUUCCUAAGCCGGGUGGUAAUCGUUCUACGAUCGGCGAAAGGGAAGCGGGUUAAAAUUCCUGCACACGGAUGUGAAAGCGGUGACGCAAAUUGAGAUGGAGACGUUAGCGGUGGCGCUGGGCAGAGUUGUCUUUUCUGUUUGACCUGUGAGUGCACACUGUGGAAUCCGAUUAUCGGGAGAAACAGGUGCCGAUGGGCAGAGCGUCGGGGCAUUCCCGGCGUCCAGAACGCCACCGAUAGCCCUUGAAAAUCCAUCUGCAACAAUUCAAAUUUCACGCCGUGGCGUACCGAUAACCGCAUCAGGUCCUCAAGGUGAACAGCCUCUGCUCAAUAUGAACAAUGCAGGUAAGGGAAGUCGGCA
RNAcentral lists this ribosomal RNA (639 nucleotides) under Jania subulata. RNAcentral describes it as "eukaryotic LSU rRNA". It matches the Rfam family "Eukaryotic large subunit ribosomal RNA", at positions 1264 to 1920 of the family's 3401-position model. Lineage: Eukaryota; Rhodophyta; Florideophyceae; Corallinales; Corallinaceae. The record is from RNAcentral.